RNAcentral lists this ribosomal RNA (253 nucleotides) under uncultured bacterium. Its description in RNAcentral is "partial 16S ribosomal RNA". It matches the Rfam family "Bacterial small subunit ribosomal RNA", at positions 524 to 776 of the family's 1533-position model. The record is from RNAcentral.
UACAGAGGGGGCAAGCGUUGUUCGGAAUUACUGGGCGUAAAGGGCGCGUAGGCGGCCGCCUAAGUCAGACGUGAAAUCCCUCGGCUCAACCGGGGAACUGCGUCUGAUACUGGGUGGCUUGAAUCCGGGAGAGGGAUGCGGAAUUCCAGGUGUAGCGGUGAAAUGCGUAGAUAUUGGGAAGAACACCUGAGGCGAAGGCGGGUUGCUGGGCCGACACUGACGCUGAGGCGCGAAAGCCAGGGGAGCGAACGGG